AUCGCUUCUCGGCCUGUUGGCUAAGAUCAAGUGUAGUAUCUGUUCUUAUCAGUUUAAUAUCUGAUAUGUCCCCCAGCGGGGGACUACAUAUUAAGCAGGUUUUUAGAACAGGGAGUUGGCAAAGGAGCUUGCUCCAUCCGCUCCACCCAUCGACCCAGUAGAGCGGUGCACUUUCU
The sequence is a small nuclear RNA, 176 nucleotides long. Its record names the gene U2. It matches the Rfam family "U2 spliceosomal RNA". Rfam says of the family: U2 is a small nuclear RNA (snRNA) component of the spliceosome (involved in pre-mRNA splicing). Complementary binding between U2 snRNA (in an area lying towards the 5' end but 3' to hairpin I) and the branchpoint sequence (BPS) of the intron results the bulging out of an unpaired adenosine, on the BPS, which initiates a nucleophilic attack at the intronic 5' splice site, thus starting the first of two transesterification reactions that mediate splicing. The record is from Ensembl.